CAGUCGCCGCGGUAAUACGGAGGGUGCAAGCGUUAAUCGGAAUUACUGGGCGUAAAGCGCACGCAGGCGGUCUGACAAGUCAGAUGUGAAAUCCCCGGGCUUAACCUGGGAACUGCAUUUGAAACUGUCAGGCUGGAGUCUUGUAGAGGGGGGUAGAAUUCCAGGUGUAGCGGUGAAAUGCGUAGAGAUCUGGAGGAAUACCGGUGGCGAAGGCGGCCCCCUGGACAAAGACUGACGCUCAGGUGCGAAAGCGUGGGGAGCAAACAGGAUUAGAUACCCCGGUAGUCCCUGUCUCUUAUAU
Molecule: ribosomal RNA, 301 nt
Filed under: uncultured bacterium
Lineage: Bacteria
Description: partial 16S ribosomal RNA
Rfam family: Bacterial small subunit ribosomal RNA
Source: RNAcentral